Molecule: long non-coding RNA, 665 nt
Organism: Mauremys mutica (yellowpond turtle)
Lineage: Eukaryota; Metazoa; Chordata; Testudines; Geoemydidae
Exons: 3
Source: RefSeq, a predicted model, not a curated record
GCACUGAGAUGGGCCUGUGACCUCUGGGGCAGCUCCUCGGGGCUGGCUGCGGCUGGUUAUUCAGAGCAUCCCCUCCUCGUGCAGGUGCUAGGCGCUGCGGUUUACUCUCGUACGGCUUGGCUCAGAGGAGGCACUGCAGGGCAGCUCUCAGGAGCCGAAGUGACCUACAGAGGUGGGGGUCUAAGGCAGCUGGGCAGCAGAGUCUGCACCCCAACGAAGGGUGGCCACACAGGGUCUGCAUGCAAGAGUGUGCCGGAGAGACUCAGAGCUAGGAAUAAUGACCCUGUUCUGCCCAGACCCAAUGUUGCUGUCCCCAUUCAGAAGGGAUCAGAGCACAGACCUGUUGGAAGCAUCAUAUACUCAGAGACCACAUUUGCCAUCAAGGAAGGGUUAUGGAUAUUCCCUGCAGGGAGCUUACUAUAGUCAUAGGAACGUGUCUGACUGGCUGAAGUUUAAUUCAUAAAAACAAUAAUUAAAAUACUUUGCACUUCUCCAGCAGCUUUCAUUCAUGGAUCUCCAACUGCUUUCCAGGCAUUAAUGAAUGUAGCCUCACAACACCCUUGUGAGGUAGGUAAAUAUCAUCCCUGCUUUAGAUAGCCCUUCUCCGUGCCUCAAUUUUCCUAUCAGCAAUUAUGCCUCAAUUCAGCAAAGCACUUAAGCAUUGA